Molecule: ribosomal RNA, 219 nt
Filed under: uncultured bacterium
Lineage: Bacteria
Description: partial 16S ribosomal RNA
Rfam family: Bacterial small subunit ribosomal RNA
Source: RNAcentral
UACGUAGGGGGCAAGCGUUGUCCGGAUUUAUUGGGCGUAAAGAGCGUGUAGGCGGUUUUACAGGUCCGCUGUGAAAACUCGAGGCUCAACCUCGAGCUGGUCGGUGGAAACCGUAAGGCUAGAGUCCGGAAGAGGAGAGUGGAAUUCCUGGUGUAGCGGUGAAAUGCGCAGACUAUCAGGAAGGAACACCCGUGGCGAAGGCGGCUCUCUGGGACGGUA